UGGGAUGAUGAAUUGUAACAGCUUGAUACGCCAGUUCUGCUUCAGAUAAUUCUUGAUCGAAAAAGCUGUAUUCUUAUCCGAGCCUUUCAUUGCUAUUUUGUCUUUCUUCUGAGU
Molecule: small nucleolar RNA, 114 nt
Organism: Arabidopsis thaliana (thale cress)
Lineage: Eukaryota; Viridiplantae; Streptophyta; Magnoliopsida; Brassicales; Brassicaceae
Source: RefSeq